GAAAUACUCCCUCCGUCCCAAAAUACUUGUCGGAGCAAUGGAUAAAAAUGAAUGUAUCUAGAACUAAAAUACAUCUAGAUACAUCCAUUCCUCCGACAAGUAUUUCCGAACGGAGGGAGCAUAAG
Triticum aestivum (bread wheat) is the source of this 125-nucleotide non-coding RNA. The record is from Rfam. NCBI's taxonomy places the organism in Eukaryota, Viridiplantae, Streptophyta, Magnoliopsida, Poales, Poaceae.